Molecule: ribosomal RNA, 253 nt
Filed under: uncultured bacterium
Lineage: Bacteria
Description: partial 16S ribosomal RNA
Rfam family: Bacterial small subunit ribosomal RNA
Source: RNAcentral
UACGAAGGGUGCAAACGUUGCUCGGAAUCAUUGGGCGUAAAGCGCACGUAGGCGGCCUCAUAAGUCGGAUGUGAAAUCCCUCGGCUCAACCGAGGAAGUGCAUCCGAAACUGCGAGGCUCGAGUAUGGAAGAGGGUCGCAGAAUUCCCGGUGUAGAGGUGAAAUUCGUAGAUAUCGGGAGGAAUACCAGUGGCGAAGGCGGCGACCUGGGCUAAUACUGACGCUGAGGUGCGAAAGCGUGGGGAGCAAACAGG